Gasterosteus aculeatus aculeatus (three-spined stickleback) is the source of this 1813-nucleotide non-coding RNA. The record is from RefSeq and is a predicted model, not a curated record. NCBI's taxonomy places the organism in Eukaryota, Metazoa, Chordata, Actinopteri, Perciformes, Gasterosteidae.
CGGUCACGGCGCGCAGGGGUUCGCCUGCCUCGCCGACCUGUCAAUGCUCGAUGCUAACGUUGCGUAGCUACUCGGCUAAUGUGACGCCGUGUAACCCGUUUGGAAGACGUUUGAGCACAACCGCUUUCGCCCAGCUUGCUUGGAACGGCGCCUACAAACUGAAGGACCCCCGACGAACAAGCUGCCUGACUACCCGCCUGUAGACAAUGUCAACAGUAUUAACGUCCAAUAUAGAUGUAUAUUAUCUCUUCAUUUUAUAUGUCAAAUAUUUUAAAUCAUAAUGUUGUGAUAACGAAUACCUAACAAUGAUUAGCUUGUGUAUUUAUAUACAUUGCAAUAUACAUUCAAGUAUUUGAUCAGGCAUGUUGCCGAACAUCAGGUCUUGUGGGGGCUCUUUGUUUUGGCUCCCACUUUUCUUGCUUUCCGUUUAGGUUUUCUACACUCUGCGAGGAGUCGCUGCGUGGUCAUUUAAUAAAAUUGAGGUUUUCAAAUAAGCCACAACGUACUCUAUCCGGUCUCUUUUCCCAUCAUAGCCAGUGAUUAACCACUUCACUCAUGAGACAUUUUGUGCACUGAAAUAGCUGCAAAAUGUAGAUUGUAUAUGUGCAUAUUGUCCUUUAAAAAACAGCCAACGAUAACUUAUAAAGCACAUAAUAACUUCAACAACCACAGACGUUACAGGCAGUUACUUUGUUUCAACAGAGCUCCAGUAUCACUACUUUCUGAGUAGACGAGCUACCGUUAACUGCGCAGCGGCUCCCGGUAACGUGAGCUGCUCCUUGUGUGUUUGUUAUAAAUGCGUGUUGGUACAUUGACGUUGAUGUACAUUGAAGAACAGUACAAGUAAGAGGGGCCGUUUAGGACUUAACUACAGUAUGUUUGCAGCUGAGUCGCAGCUGCAGUGACGACAAAUGCGUCCUUAAGGAUGUGUGAUGCAGCCUAGCGACUUUUGAUUUGAAAAUAUCCUACUGUGUUUUUUAUUUAUUAUUUUUAAUUUCAUAAAUAAAUUGAGCAAUGUGUGCUCUUUUAUUUUGGUUUGAGCCCCUGCCCCCCAAAAUAUCUGUGAACAUGCCUGCUGUAAACUGUUAACAGUGCAUAUAUUGUUAUAGUUUAAAGUAAAAAAAAUAUAUAUCUUUAAUGUCGUAAAUCCUUGCUUUGACUUAGAGGACAUCGAGAUCAGGAUCCAUCCUGUGCAGUGAGAAAUAGAGAAGAAUAAUUCUGAGCUUUGUCUGUUCCUUCCUCAUUGUUUACACUGUUGGCAUCUGUUUUUUUAUUCUUCUUGCUUCAACCAUCCACAGUUUCAAAUUUCAUUUCUGACUUUUCAACUGUUUAUUAUUUUCUUGUUCUUUCUUAUUCCCCCUUUUUGUCUUUUUCACGUCAAUAUCUUUUUAACCUGGUGAAGCAAACACAUUAACAGUGAAAUGCUGCACAUUAAUGAAGCAGAAAUAUUCAUCCAAAAACUUCAUGUAUAACAGUUUCAACUUAAGGCAUCAUUUUAAAACCCUUUUAUUCCUUUUUUUCUUUUCUCUAUUAUACGCUUCAUCCAUCCACACUUUCAAAUGUAUGACUUUCUAACAUUUUUUAUGAUUUUCUUAUUGUUUCUUAUUUCCCCCCUUUUUUGUUUUUCUUUUAACCUUGUGAAGCAAACACAUUCGUCACUACAUUCAUUCAGAUGUUUUUAACUCACCUCACCAAACCUGUUCUUCAGGGAAAUUCCUUUCGGGCGUUUAGGCUCAGAAACCUGUUUUAUUUCCCUGUGCACACAUGUUGAGUCACAGAAAGUGUUCACUUAUAAACACAGUCGACACUGAGA